GAGAAGAACGUAGCGAAAUGCGAUACUUGGUGUGAAUUGCAGAAUCCCGUGAACCAUCGAGUCUUUGAACGCAAGUUGCGCCCGAAGCCAUUAGGCCGAGGGCACGCCUGCCUGGGUGUCACACACCGUUACCCUCGCGCCAACGUCCAUCGUUGGCCGCGGCGCGGGGCGUGCGCUGACCUCCCGCGAGCGGGGUCUCGUGGUUGGUUGAAAAUCGAGUUCGCGGUCGAGGGUGCCGUGAUGAAAUGGUGGAUGGGCAACGCCCGAGGCCAAUCACGCGCGACUCUGUCCGGCUCGGACUCCUGGACCCCUUCGGCGUCUCCGGACGCUCUUUGGCGAGACCUCAGGUCAGGCGGGGCUACCUGCUGAGUUUAAGCAUAUCAAUAAGCGGAGGA
RNAcentral lists this unclassified non-coding RNA (395 nucleotides) under soil metagenome. RNAcentral describes it as "partial contains 5.8S ribosomal RNA, internal transcribed spacer 2, and large subunit ribosomal RNA". The stretch from base 3 to 121 matches the Rfam family "5.8S ribosomal RNA", at positions 38 to 154 of the family's 154-position model. The record is from RNAcentral.